RNAcentral lists this ribosomal RNA (301 nucleotides) under uncultured bacterium. RNAcentral's name for it is "partial 16S ribosomal RNA". It matches the Rfam family "Bacterial small subunit ribosomal RNA", at positions 509 to 809 of the family's 1533-position model. The record is from RNAcentral.
CAGCAGCCACGGGAAUACGAAGGGGGCUAGCGUUGCUCGGAAUCACUGGGCGUAAAGGGUGCGUAGGCGGGUCUUUAAGUCAGGGGUGAAAUCCUGGAGCUCAACUCCAGAACUGCCUUUGAUACUGAAGAUCUUGAGUUCGGGAGAGGUGAGUGGAACUGCGAGUGUAGAGGUGAAAUUCGUAGAUAUUCGCAAGAACACCAGUGGCGAAGGCGGCUCACUGGCCCGAUACUGACGCUGAGGCACGAAAGCGUGGGGAGCAAACAGGAUUAGAUACCCCUGUAGUCCCUGUCUCUUAUAU